Molecule: ribosomal RNA, 239 nt
Filed under: uncultured bacterium
Lineage: Bacteria
Description: partial 16S ribosomal RNA
Rfam family: Bacterial small subunit ribosomal RNA
Source: RNAcentral
AGCGGCGGACGGGUGAGUAACGCGUGGGUAACCUGCCUCAUACAGGGGGAUAACAGUUGGAAACGGCUGCUAAUACCGCAUAAGCGCACAGUACCGCAUGGUACCGUGUGAAAAACUCCGGUGGUAUGAGAUGGACCCGCGUCUGAUUAGCUAGUUGGUGGGGUAACGGCCUACCAAGCGACGAUCAGUAGCCGACCUGAGAGGGUGACCGGCCACAUUGGGACUGAGACACGGCCCAA